RNAcentral lists this ribosomal RNA (1019 nucleotides) under Uruburuella sp. RNAcentral's name for it is "bacterial SSU rRNA". It matches the Rfam family "Bacterial small subunit ribosomal RNA", at positions 61 to 1069 of the family's 1533-position model. Lineage: Bacteria; Pseudomonadati; Pseudomonadota; Betaproteobacteria; Neisseriales; Neisseriaceae. The record is from RNAcentral.
GUCGGACGGCAGCAUAGAAGAGCUUGCUCUUUUGAUGGCGAGUGGCGAACGGGUGAGUAAUGCAUCGGAACGUACCGAGUAGUGGGGGAUAACUGUCCGAAAGGAUGGCUAAUACCGCAUAUUCUCUGAGGAGGAAAGCAGGGGACCUUAGGGCCUUGCGCUAUUUGAGCGGCCGAUGUCUGAUUAGCUAGUUGGUGGGGUAAGAGCCCACCAAGGCGACGAUCAGUAGCGGGUCUGAGAGGAUGAUCCGCCACACUGGGACUGAGACACGGCCCAGACUCCUACGGGAGGCAGCAGUGGGGAAUUUUGGACAAUGGGCGCAAGCCUGAUCCAGCCAUGCCGCGUGUAUGAAGAAGGCCUUCGGGUUGUAAAGUACUUUUGUCAGGGAAGAAAAGCCUGGGGAUAACACCCUCAGGUCAUGACGGUACCUGAAGAAUAAGCACCGGCUAACUACGUGCCAGCAGCCGCGGUAAUACGUAGGGUGCGAGCGUUAAUCGGAAUUACUGGGCGUAAAGCGAGCGCAGACGGUUAUUUAAGCAAGAUGUGAAAGCCCCGGGCUCAACCUGGGAACUGCGUUUUGAACUGGGUAGCUAGAGUGUGUCAGAGGGGGGUAGAAUUCCACGUGUAGCAGUGAAAUGCGUAGAGAUGUGGAGGAAUACCGAUGGCGAAGGCAGCCCCCUGGGAUAACACUGACGUUCAUGCUCGAAAGCGUGGGUAGCAAACAGGAUUAGAUACCCUGGUAGUCCACGCCCUAAACGAUGUCAAUUAGCUGUUGGGGUACAUGAUGCCUUAGUAGCGUAGCUAACGCGUGAAAUUGACCGCCUGGGGAGUACGGUCGCAAGAUUAAAACUCAAAGGAAUUGACGGGGACCCGCACAAGCGGUGGAUGAUGUGGAUUAAUUCGAUGCAACGCGAAGAACCUUACCUGGUCUUGACAUGUACGGAAUCUCUUAGAGAUAGGAGAGUGCCUUCGGGAGCCGUAACACAGGUGCUGCAUGGCUGUCGUCAGCUCGUGUCGUG